This 371-nucleotide ribosomal RNA is filed under the name uncultured bacterium. Its description in RNAcentral is "bacterial SSU rRNA". It matches the Rfam family "Bacterial small subunit ribosomal RNA", at positions 525 to 896 of the family's 1533-position model. The record is from RNAcentral.
ACGUAGGGUGCAAGCGUUAAUCGGAAUUACUGGGCGUAAAGCGUGCGCAGGCGGUUAUGCAAGACAGGUGUGAAAUCCCCGAGCUCAACUUGGGAACUGCACUUGUGACUGCAUAGCUAGAGUACGGUAGAGGGGAGUGGAAUUCCGCGUGUAGCAGUGAAAUGCGUAGAUAUGCGGAGGAACACCGAUGGCGAAGGCAGCUCCCUGGACCUGUACUGACGCUCAUGCACGAAAGCGUGGGGAGCAAACAGGAUUAGAUACCCUGGUAGUCCACGCCCUAAACGAUGUCAACUGGUUGUUGGGAGGGUUUCUUCUCAGUAACGUAGCUAACGCGUGAAGUUGACCGCCUGGGGAGUACGGCCGCAAGGUUG